UCCAAAACGAGAAGACCACGGCGCUGCCCUCACCGACCUGAGCCUCAGUGAGGGCGAUGGUGGACCCCACCCUCAGCCUAAAACCUCCACCCAUCCGGAAGCCACCUCCCACCAGGAUCUUACGUCUGGUUGGCUCUGAAGACUCGAAUCAACAGCAGAGGUGGGGUGGGGUAGAAGGCUGCGGAGCAAUGAUUGGCUCCGCUAUGGGAAGGGCGGGAUCAAGCCCUGCUCUGAGUCCUGAUUGGCCACCGCAAGAUGGCCCACCCAAGCUCUUCCAGGGUACCGAGGUUUUCGGGAAUCACUUAUAGGCUACGAGCGGGUCGUCCGGCUCCGUGCUGCUAUUGGCUGCUGACUUGGCGCAGGCGCUAUGGCCCCUGCGUUGGCGUUCGCGGUUGCAGAGGCAGGGCUUUGGCUACGGGAGACCAUAGGACCCACUCACUGUUCACAGCAGCACUGAGAAAAAUUCUUCACUGGGGUUCCUGACAGCUGUAUUUCAGGCUGCCUGUAGGUCCGAGUUCUGCAGAGAAGGUUCAAGUGGAAGCCAGCCAUCCUGUCGCGAGGACACUCAAGCAGCUGCAUGGAGAGAUCUACUUACCAGAGAACUGAGGUCCCCCAGCCCAAAGCCAUCACCAAAUUGCCAGCAAUGUGAGUGAUCCAGCUUGGAAGCAGCGCUUCCGGCCCCACUCAAGCCUUCCAAUGACUGCAGCCUGAGAGACCCAAAGCCAGAGCCAUGCAGCUAAGCUGCUCCUGAAUUCCAGCUCCCCCAAACUGUGUGAGAUGAUUAGUGUUUGCUGUUGUUUCAAGCUGCUAAGUUUUGGGUUCAUUUGUGGCAUUUCUGAGCUCUCUGAGGGUCUCUGUCUAGGGUUUGAGAUUUCUGAGCUUUUUGUGGCCUAUAUCCAUAUCUGGGUGUUGGAGACACUCCAUGUUGCACAUUUUUAGGUCUCUGAUCUCUUUAGGGUCUCUCUCUGGGUUUUUAGGCCUCUGAACUAUUUGGGGAUCUGUGUCUGAAAGCAUGGGGAUUCUGGGCUGUUUCUGGUUCAUGUCCAGGACAUGAUCAUAACUGUUUGGAAUCCUUUAAUCCCAGGGUAUGAUGUCUCUAAGAUAACUUUGUACUUGAGUCCAGAACUUGAAGUCUCUGAGCUCCUUUGCAGUCUGUGUUCUGGGUGUGAGAUCUUUGAGGUAUUUGGGAGUCUGUAUCUCUGGUUUCACAGCCGUGAACGCUUUGGAGGACUGUAUGUAGGUUUUGUUUGUUCUUUUAGGUGUAUGGAGUUUUAAGUCCCAGGAAGAGACAUCACCGAGGUGACUGGAAUCUGCAUCCAGGUGUUCAAACAGUUUGGGCCCCUGAGUCCUUAGAUGUGAAGUCCCUGCUGUGUUUGAGAGUCGAUGUCCAGAUAUUGAUAUUUCUGGUUUUGAGGGCAGGCAGAGCCUGUGUUUCAGGUUGUCAGCUCUCUGAACUAUUUCUGGGUGUGUGUCCCAGUAUGUAAAGUUCCUGAGUUGUUUAUGGGUGUGUGUCCCAAAUGUGUGGGGUCCUGGACAUGGCUGUGGCUCUGUGUUGUAGUAUAUGAGGUCUCUGUUCAUGGGUGUAUGUGGCAGCGUGUGAGGUAACUGAACUCCUUGAGUGUGUGUGCACGAGAUCAUAAGGUCUCUGAUCUGUUUGGGUGUGUGUUUCCCAGCAUGAGAAUUUUUUAUUUGUUUGUGGGUGUAUAUUCCAUGGUGUUAGUUCUCUAAUCUGUUCGGAUGUGUAUGUCCUGGGUGUGAGGUUUCUGCUAUGCUCGUGGGUAUAUGGUCUAAUGGUGUAAAGGUUUCUGAUCCACCUAGGGGUAUAUGUCCCAGGGUAUGAGGUCUCUGAUCUGUUUGUCAUUGUAUGUCUCAGGAUGUGAGGUCUCUCUUCUGGAUGCAUGUCAAGGGUAGGAGGUCUCUAAUCUGUUUUUAGUUUUAUGUCCCCGGAUGUUAGAUCUCUGGUCUCUGUGGGUAUAUAUGCCAACGGGUGAGCUCUCUGUCAUGUUUGUGGGUAUAUGUCCCAAUAGAUGAGGUCUCUGAGGUCUUUGUGGAUAUAUUUUCCUGGUCGGUAUGUUUCUGAGCUUUUUGGGUUAUGUUUUGGUUAUGUUCUCUCAGGGCACUCUGGUCCAUUUGUUGGGUGUAUGUUACAGGAUGAUAAGGACUGUCUGUCUGAGGGUGUAUGUCCCAGGGUGUGAGGGUAUCUGCUGUGUUUGUGGGUAUAUGUCUCUGAGUGUGAUAUAUCUAAAAUGUUUGUGAGUAUAGUUCCCAAGAUAUAAGUUCCCUGAACUCUUUGUGGGUGUGUGUCCCAGAAAAGGAAAUCUAUGAUCUAUUUGUGAGCAUAUGUUCCAGAACAUGAGGUCUCAGAGCUGUCUGUCCCUGUGUGUGUCCCAAUAUGUGAGGUCUCUCUUCAUGGGUGUAGAUCAAAGGUACGAGUUCUCUGGUUACUUUUGUGUUGGUACCUCCCAGGGAAUGAGGCCUCUGAGCUGUCUGGGGUUGGGGAAUUUCACAUAAUGUGAGUUCUCAAGUAUGGUUGUGGCUAUAUGACCUAGCAUAUAGGUCUCUGAUCUCUUUGGGUGUGUAUGUUCCAUAGUUUGAAGUCUCUGAGCUCUUUAUUGAUGUAUAUUCCAGGAUGUGAGGUCUCUGAUCUUCUUGUUGUUAUAUACUGCUAGUACGCGAGUCUGCCUUCACUGGUAUAUGUCAAAGUCCAUUUGUGUGUGUAUUUCCCAGUGUAUGAGGUCCCUGAUCUGUUUCCAGGUGUAUGUUCCAGAGUAAGAAGCCUCUAAUAUGUCUCUGAUCUUUUCAUAAAUGUAUCAGGAGCUUGAGGUCCUUCAUCCCUGUGGUUGUAAUUCCCAGAGGCCUUGUCCAUGUUGUGUGUGUGGCUCUACGUCCAAGAAUAUUAUGUAUCUGUAUUGUUUCUGCAAGUAUGCCCCAGUUGUGAGGUCUCUGAUCUCUUUGUGGGUAUAUUCAUCAGAAUGGGAGAUCUCUGAUAUGUUUGUGGGUGUAUGUCCCAGAGUGUGAGGUCACUAAUGUUUGUGCAUGUAAACCCCAGGAUUUGAGGUCUGUGAUAUGCUUAUCACUAUAAUUAUCAAUGUGUGAAAUGUCUCUCAUGGGUGUAUGCCAAAGGCAUGAGCUCUCUGAUAUGUCUGUGUUUAUAUGAACGUGGGUGUAAGAUCUCUUAUUUGUUUAUGGGUGUAUGUCUCAGUGUGUGAGGUUUGUGAGGUUUUGGGGGGUUAUAUCCCAUGGUCUGUUCUGUUUGGGGGUUAUUUGCUGGGAUAUGACGUGUACGUAUUUUUAUCACUGUAUAUCCCAGUAUGUGAGGUCUCUCAGAUGGGUGUAUAUAGAAAGUGUAAGGUCUUUGAUCUAUUUGUGGUUAUAUAUCCCUGGGUGUGAGGUCUCUGAUAAGUUCGUGGAUUUAAUUCUUUUUUUUUUAAGUUUUAUUUUUUAAUUUUUUAAUUUUUAAUUUUUAUUUUAUUUAUUUAUUUAUUGAGAGAGAGAGUGUAGGAGGGGCAGAAAGAGAGGGAGAGAGAGAGA
This is a long non-coding RNA of Felis catus (domestic cat), 3531 nucleotides long. RefSeq lists it as uncharacterized. The record is from RefSeq and is a predicted model, not a curated record. NCBI's taxonomy places the organism in Eukaryota, Metazoa, Chordata, Mammalia, Carnivora, Felidae. The transcript has 3 exons.